CCCAGACUCCUACGGGAGGCAGCAGUGGGGAAUAUUGCACAAUGGGGGGAACCCUGAUGCAGCGACGCCGCGUGGGUGAAGAAGUCAUUAGUGACGUAAAGCCCUAUCAGCAGGGAAGAAAAUGACGGUACCUGACUAAGAAGCCCCGGCUAACUACGUGCCAGCAGCCGCGGUAAUACGUAGGGGGCAAGCGUUAUCCGGAUUUACUGGGUGUAAAGGGAGCGUAGACGGCAAUGCAAGCCAGAUGUGAAAGCCCGGGGCUCAACCCCGGGACUGCAUUUGGAACUGUGUAGCUGGAGUGUCGGAGAGGCAGGCGGAAUUCCUAGUGUAGCGGUGAAAUGCGUAGAUAUUAGGAGGAACACCAGUGGCGAAGGCGGCCUGCUGGACGAUGACUGACGUUGAGGCUCGAAGGCGUGGGGAGCAAACAGGAUUAGAUCCCCCUGUA
This 445-nucleotide ribosomal RNA is filed under the name uncultured bacterium. RNAcentral describes it as "partial 16S ribosomal RNA". It matches the Rfam family "Bacterial small subunit ribosomal RNA", at positions 330 to 792 of the family's 1533-position model. The record is from RNAcentral.